RNAcentral lists this long non-coding RNA (1460 nucleotides) under Brassica napus (rape). RNAcentral describes it as "long non-coding RNA (BNAP_LNC020834)". Lineage: Eukaryota; Viridiplantae; Streptophyta; Magnoliopsida; Brassicales; Brassicaceae. The record is from RNAcentral.
UUAGGGUUUAGGGUUUAGAGUUUAGAGUUUAGGGUUUAGGGUUUAGGGUUUAGAUUUUAGGGUUUAGGGUUUAGUGUUUAGGGUUUAGAGUUUAGGGUUUAGGAUUUAUGGUUUAGUGUUUAGGGUUUAGAGUUUAGGAUUUAGGGUUUAGAGUUGAGAAAUGAGAUUUUGGGGAUAAGAUUUCAAAUUUUGAAAAAUAAAAAAAUUAAAAUUUUCAAAGGAUAAACUUACAAAGGUGCUAUUUUGGUAAUUUUAGUUUUUGAGUGCUAUUUUUGUGAUAUAAACUUAGAAAGGUGCUAUUUUGGAGAUUUGCCCAUACAAAUAUACUGGUCGUAUAUAUUUGUAACUUUACUCAUGAUCUGAUACUGAUAUAAAUUACUCUAUCUGGGUGUGUUAAUACUAUUAGAAUGCAAUCUACCCCAUACAAAUGUAUGUGUUUUUGUUUUUUUAACAUGAGGGUAUCCAGAUCUAUUGAAUGACUCAGACUAAUAUUUAAUGUAACUCACAUAUAGUUUUUUUUCGGAUAUUCAAAUAGUAAAGUGUAACCUAUAUCCCCAUGGCCACACAAGUAGAUUUAGUGUUAUAUUAUAUUGCUUCACUAAUAUGAUAUACUAUAGAUUUUUUAUGAACAAAAAUCGUUCUGUCUCGUAUUGUAACUACAUUAGCUAAUAUAUUAGAUUCACCCAACUGACAUAUUGCAUGAUUGGUUUCCGAGACAAUUUGACCUAAAUUGCUGUAUUUAUGUUCAAAACGUAUAAAUGACUUUUCUCCUUACUGAUUUUGUUGUUGUUUUGUUAUAAUGCCUGUUACUAGUUUUGGCAAAAACCUAAGUCAAAUCAUUGUCGUAGAUUAACAAAGAAUGUUAUCGGGCAACACACGCAUUCGUGCAACCGAAGCAAUCAUCUAUGUUAUGCUUCACCAAAAAAAAAAAAAUAUAUAUAUAUAUAUAUAUAGAGCCACCCGUUUCUAUUUAUGGUAAACCAAUUAUAUAUUUAAAGAAAAACCUCUCAUUUUUCUCAGCCAUUUUUGCAUUUGCUACAAACAUGGAUCUCCUUCCAUGGCUCUUACGGUGACUAUUCUCAACUCUUUUUUUUCACACAAGACUCUCAUUUUUCACCUUUCCUACAUUGAUCUCUAGUCGUUACCAUUUCAAGUUUUCUUAUUUUGUAUUCAAAUAUACUGGUCGUAUAUAUUUGUAACUUUACUCAUGAUCUGAUACUGAUAUAAAUUACUCUAUCUGGGUGUGUUAAUACUAUUAGAAUGCAAUCUACCCCAUACAAAUGUAUGUGUUUUUGUUUUUUUAACAUGAGGGUAUCCAGAUCUAUUGAAUGACUCAGACUAAUAUUUAAUGUAACUCACAUAUAGUUUUUUUUCGGAUAUUCAAAUAGUAAAGUGUAACCUAUAUCCCCAUGGCCACACAAGUAGAUUUAGUGUUAUAUUAUAUUGCUUCACUAAUAUGA